UGGGGAAUAUUGGACAAUGGGCGAAAGCCUGAUCCAGCCAUGCCGCGUGUGUGAAGAAGGUCUUCGGAUUGUAAAGCACUUUAAGUUGGGAGGAAGGGCAUUAACCUAAUACGUUAGUGUUUUGACGUUACCGACAGAAUAAGCACCGGCUAACUCUGUGCCAGCAGCCGCGGUAAUACAGAGGGGGCAAGCGUUAAUCGGAAUUACUGGGCGUAAAGCGCGCGUAGGUGGUUUGUUAAGUAGGAUGUGAAAUCCCCGGGCUCAACCUGGGAACUGCAUUCAAAACUGACUGACUAGAGUAUGGUAGAGGGUGGUGGAAUUUCCUGUGUAGCGGUGAAAUGCGUAGAUAUAGGAAGGAACACCAGUGGCGAAGGCGACCACCUGGACUAAUACUGACACUGAGGUGCGAAAGCGUGGGGAGCAAACA
This 427-nucleotide ribosomal RNA is filed under the name uncultured bacterium. Its description in RNAcentral is "partial 16S ribosomal RNA". It matches the Rfam family "Bacterial small subunit ribosomal RNA", at positions 355 to 774 of the family's 1533-position model. The record is from RNAcentral.